AGAGUUUGAUCCUGGCUCAGAUUGAACGCUGGCGGCAGGCUUAACACAUGCAAGUCGAGCGGUAGCACAAGGGAGCUUGCUCCCUGGGUGACGAGCGGCGGACGGGUGAGUAAUGUCUGGGAAACUGCCUGAUGGAGGGGGAUAACUACUGGAAACGGUAGCUAAUACCGCAUAACGUCGCAAGACCAAAGAGGGGGACCUUCGGGCCUCUUGCCAUCAGAUGUGCCCAGAUGGGAUUAGCUAGUAGGUGGGGUAAUGGCUCACCUAGGCGACGAUCCCUAGCUGGUCUGAGAGGAUGACCAGCCACACUGGAACUGAGACACGGUCCAGACUCCUACAGGAGGCAGCAGUGGGGAAUAUUGCACAAUGGGCGCAAGCCUGAUGCAGCCAUGCCGCGUGUGUGAAGAAGG
Molecule: ribosomal RNA, 410 nt
Filed under: uncultured bacterium
Lineage: Bacteria
Description: bacterial SSU rRNA
Rfam family: Bacterial small subunit ribosomal RNA
Source: RNAcentral